GCUGGGCAUGGUGGUGCAUGCCUGUGGUCCUAGCUACUUGGGAGGCUGAGGCAGGAGGAUCACUUGAACCUGGGAAGUCGAGGCUGCAGUGAGCUGAGAUUGCACUACUGCACUCCAGCCUGGGCGACAAAGUGAGACCCUGUUUCAA
Molecule: unclassified non-coding RNA, 148 nt
Organism: Pongo abelii (Sumatran orangutan)
Lineage: Eukaryota; Metazoa; Chordata; Mammalia; Primates; Hominidae
Rfam family: Metazoan signal recognition particle RNA
About the family: The signal recognition particle (SRP) is a universally conserved ribonucleoprotein. It is involved in the co-translational targeting of proteins to membranes.
Source: Ensembl